AAAGGAAGUGGCAGAAUGGUUAUGCGGCUGGCUUGAAACCAGCACAAGGGGGUUCAACUCCUCCCUUCCUCG
This 72-nucleotide transfer RNA is filed under the name Paramisgurnus dabryanus. Its description in RNAcentral is "tRNA-Ser". It matches the Rfam family "tRNA". Rfam says of the family: Transfer RNA (tRNA) molecules are approximately 80 nucleotides in length. The record is from RNAcentral. Lineage: Eukaryota; Metazoa; Chordata; Actinopteri; Cypriniformes; Cobitidae. RNAcentral also lists the same sequence under 3 other names.